GCUUGUCUCAAAGAUUAAGCCAUGCAUGUAUAAGUUUAAUCGUUUAUCGAGAAACCGCGAACGGCUCAUUACAAUGGCCAUUAUUUACUUGAUCUUGAUUGUCUAAAUGGAUAACUGUGGAAAAGCUAGAGCUAAUACAUGCACUAAAGCUUUGUCCUUACGGAAAAGCGCAUUUAUUAGAACAAAACCACGCGGCUUCGGCUGCUUCUUGUUGACUCAGAAUAACUUAGCUGACCGCAUGGCCUUGUGCCGGCGGCGUGUCUUUCAAGCGUCCACUUUAUCAACUUGACGGGAGCAUAAUCGACUCCCGUGGUGGUGACGGAUAACGGAGGAUCAGGGUUCGACUCCGGAGAAGGGGCCUGAGAAAUGGCCACUACGUCUAAGGAUGGCAGCAGGCGCGCAAAUUACCCACUCUCGGCUCGAGGAGGUAGUGACGAGAAAUAACGAGACUGUUCUCUUUGAGGCCGGUCAUCGGAAUGGGUACAAUUUAAACCCUUUAACGAGUAUCAAGCAGAGGGCAAGUCUGGUGCCAGCAGCCGCGGUAAUUCCAGCUCUGCAAAUACAUAGAAUUAUUGCUGCGGUUAGAAAGCUCAUAGUUGGAUUCGUAUCGAUACCUUGGAACCCUUCGGGUGUCUCUAGGUGUUAUCGAUUUAUCGUAAUGUUCGGUUUUGAGUCCUUAACAGGAUUCUUAACAGGCAUUGCAAGUUUACUUUGAACAAAUCAGAGUGCUUCAAACAGGCGUUUUCGCUUGAAUGAUCGUGCAUGGAAUAAUAGAAAAUGAUUUCGGUUCAGUUUUAUUGGUUUUACGGACUGAGAUAAUGGUUAACAGAGACAAACGGGGGCAUUUGUAUGGUCCCGUGAGAGGUGAAAUUCUUGGACCGUGGCCAGACAAACUACAGCGAAAGCAUUUGCCAAGAAUGUUUUUAUUAAUCAAGAACGAAAGUCAGAGGUUCGAAGGCGAUCAGAUACCGCCCUAGUUCUGACCGUAAACGAUGCCAACUAGCGAUCCGCCGAUGGAAAUUAUAUUGCCUUGGUGGGGAGCUUCCCGGAAACGAAAGUCUUCCGGUUCCGGGGGAAGUAUGGUUGCAAAGCUGAAACUUAAAGGAAUUGACGGAAGGGCACCACCAGGAGUGGAGCCUGCGGCUUAAUUUGACUCAACACGGGGAAACUCACCCGGCCCGGACACUGUGAGGAUUGACAGAUUGAUAGCUUUUUCAUGAUUCAGUG
RNAcentral lists this ribosomal RNA (1227 nucleotides) under Meloidogyne incognita (southern root-knot nematode). Its description in RNAcentral is "SSU rRNA". It matches the Rfam family "Eukaryotic small subunit ribosomal RNA", at positions 30 to 1272 of the family's 1831-position model. Lineage: Eukaryota; Metazoa; Nematoda; Chromadorea; Rhabditida; Meloidogynidae. The record is from RNAcentral.